GGAUUGCAGCUCUAGUUAGAUUGGCAGAUAGAAAUAGCAUUUUGAUUGGAGGCGUUUUUUAAAACCAUUAUCGUUCCCUUUCAUCUCCGCAAAUUAUGGAACAUCGUGGCUCGGUUUGGCGCAUCUUUUGAAGUUUAGUUUUGUUUAGAAUUAUAAGCAAGCGUUAGGUUAGAGUUCUGGAGUAGCGCGAUGCCUCUGAACACCUUGAUUUUCAUAGCUGUUGGGCCCAGUAUUCUUACUGCCGUCUCUCCCCCCCCUAAUAUUGUGCCCCAAUGAUUCGUAUCCUGAAGGGCUGAUCCCACAGACAAGUUUGUAAGUCCCAAGUCCCUAAACCUACUGAGGAGAGGCUGUCUAUCUUCCACAUAUCUCAUACAAGCCCAAAUAACGUGAUCUAUUCUUUCCACCACCUUACAAAGCUCAGAAUAUUCAGAACCUUCUUCAAGCACUGUACAAUCCACUCUGAAGAGCCCAAUGUCCUGUUAAGACUCUAAAUAUACUGUUUUGUUUUUGCCACCCUUUCAGAUGAAAUAAAUCCUCCAAAACUGGGGAAAAAGGAAACAGCCCUCGGCCUGUAGAAUUUGCCUAUUGCCUUUGCCACUCAUCCAACAUCUCUUUAACCCAGUUCCUAACCUCUUAACCAGGCUACAUGGUAAACUAAGUGGGGGAUGGGUGGGGCGAAGGUUGGCUGGUGGUGAGACCAUGAGUCUGCAUCAGGUUGACUAGGAAGUUGUGAAAGUUGGAUACAGUCCAGAGCCUUGGCACAAUGGAAAUCUCACUUGUAUAUGCAAACAAAACUACAUGCAAUUUUUUUAAAAAAAAGACGGAUGUUCUGCCCGUGGAACCACGCGUAAAACGUUAAGAAGGUGAAGCGGAACCACAUUCUUUUUGUUCUUGGUGUUGAUGAUCUGAACUUCUUCAGCAGAUACAGGUGUAUUUGAACCUAGGCCUGCAUGCUUUCUGCGCAGCUGAAGUUUGAUCUGUCAGACAUUGAAUUCUUGGCUUGAGUUUUUCUGGUGAAUACUGGCUCAGCAUUCAUUUGGAAAUCACUGUGGCAACUGGGUGGAUGCUAAGUUUUAGGAGCUUUCUUCGGCAAACUGAAAGAAUACAAAAAUAUAAUUUAAGUGAGAAAGCCUGUAGAGUCCCAUCUGCAGAUGGGAAUCAAAUCAGAGAAAGAUUGCUCCAAUUUGUGUGAUGCUAGGUAUUAGUUUACUUAUAUGGACAAGUACUAAAUACCUGAAUCUAAUCAAAGCCAAGAACAAACAGUAUGGUGCAGGGGUGAGACUGCAAAUCGUGGAUCUGGGAAACUCAGAUAAGAAUUCAACAAUGGAACCUGACUGCCUUUGGCUAAUCGCUAUUUCCAAGUGUAUCUCAGUAUUGUUGCAAGACCAAAAUGCUGUGCUAAGCACUUUUAACAAGGACAGGAUACAAAUGUAGUAAUAAUCCAUCUACGAAUGCUUCAUAAUAAUAUUAGUGUACCUGCUGACAACCUGCUCACCAUGUGAAUCAAUGAUCUUAUAUUACUGUAUAAUUUAAGACUGAAGUAUUUUAUUAUGUUCUUUGCAGACAAUACAAUUUUCAUUCUUUUUGUUAUGUUAUGUGCCUAUUUGUAUAAUGGAACAAGCAAUAUUCUGCCUUUGCCAAUAUAAAUACUUAAAUAAAUUUCUUUUGAAUUCCAA
This is a long non-coding RNA of Rhineura floridana, 1676 nucleotides long. RefSeq lists it as uncharacterized. The transcript is spliced from 5 exons. The record is from RefSeq and is a predicted model, not a curated record. Lineage: Eukaryota; Metazoa; Chordata; Lepidosauria; Squamata; Rhineuridae.